Molecule: ribosomal RNA, 323 nt
Filed under: uncultured soil bacterium
Lineage: Bacteria
Description: bacterial SSU rRNA
Rfam family: Bacterial small subunit ribosomal RNA
Source: RNAcentral
AGAUUGAACGCUAGCGGGAUGCUUUACACAUGCAAGUCGAGCGGUAGAGAGGUGCUUGCAUCUCUUGAGAGCGGCGGACGGGUGAGUAAUGCCUAGGAAUCUGCCUAGUGGUGGGGGAUAACGUUCGGAAACGGACGCUAAUACCGCAUACGUCCUACGGGAGAAAGCGGGGGACCUUCGGGCCUCGCGCCAUUAGAUGAGCCUAGGUCGGAUUAGCUAGUUGGUGAGGUAAUGGCUCACCGAAGGCGACGAUCCGUAACUGGUCUGAGAGGAUGAUCAGUCACACUGGAACUGAGACACGGUCCAGACUCCUACGGGAGCAG